Molecule: ribosomal RNA, 497 nt
Filed under: uncultured bacterium
Lineage: Bacteria
Description: partial 16S ribosomal RNA
Rfam family: Bacterial small subunit ribosomal RNA
Source: RNAcentral
GAUGAACGCUGGCGGCGUGCCUAAUACAUGCGAGUCGAGCGAACAGACGAGGAGCUUGCUCCUCUGACGUUAGCGGCGGACGGGUGAGUAACACGUGGAUAACCUACCUAUAAGACUGGGAUAACUUCGGGAAACCGGAGCUAAUACCGGAUAAUAUAUUGAACCGCAUGGUUCAAUAGUGAAAGACGGUUUUGCUGUCACUUAUAGAUGGAUCCGCGCCGCAUUAGCUAGUUGGUAAGGUAACGGCUUACCAAGGCAACGAUGCGUGGCCGACCUGACAGGGUGAUCGGCCACACUGAGACUGAGACACGGUCCAGACUCCUACGGGAGGCAGCAGUAGGGAAUCUUCCGCAAUGAGCGAAAGCCUGACGGAGCAACGCCGCGUGAGUGAUGAAGGUCUUCGGAUCGUAAAACUCUGUUAUUAGGGAAGAACAAAUGUGUAAGUGACUAUGCACGUCUUGACGGUACCUAAUCAGAAAGCCACGGCUAACUUCGUG